UGUGCUGUUAAGGAUUCGACUCCUAUAUCUCCUACUGAAGCUGUGAGUGACACCAAGAGCAUCUCAGUCAUUGCAGCAAAACAUCGCUCACACCUAGCAAAGGAGACCAACUCCAGAGUGGCUGGUCUGGCUUUGGCCUCAGGGCUCAAGUCCUCAGUGAGCAUGGACAGUCUAGAUUCUACUUUGGCAGAUGAGUCGACUGAGGUCAAAAGAAACCCACCAAGACAUGGAGGCAGGUCCCAGUCAAAACAGGACUUAAAGACAUCGGAAGGCAGAAUGGAGCUCUCUGAGAGACACCAGCACAAGAAACGGUCCAUAUUUUCUGAAGCAAGCAAAAGGCAGGUACAAAAACCAAGACAGAACCCUUCCAGAUAUCCAGCUUUGGAGAGCAUCUCAGACAACCGGCUUGUGAGACCAGCUUUAAACGUGAUCCAGCCACUCAACAGUGGUGCUGGAAACCCUGUAACACCCCCAGUAGCUAAAGUGAAACACCCUGUCUCUCACUUUACAGGAGAAGUGCAGCUUGAGAAGUUAGAGAUCAGAGGAAUGCCACCCAGCACCAUCCAUCAAAAGCACUCAGAUAUCAAACGAGGACAGGCAACCUACAAACAACAGCGAGGCCCAGGAGAUGUUUUUUACUCCAGCAAUCUCCUACAGCAUCCAGGCAAUAACAAGAAGUCCGCCAAUGAAAAUCCUAGACAAAAAGGAAUGGCCGAUGUUAACAGAAAGAAUGAAGCACGGCAAAAAAACAAACAUACUGUAAAAAAGUCAUAUGUCUGAGUUUUUCGUUCUUGUACAAGAG
Molecule: long non-coding RNA, 802 nt
Filed under: Sinocyclocheilus grahami
Lineage: Eukaryota; Metazoa; Chordata; Actinopteri; Cypriniformes; Cyprinidae
Description: lncRNA (ENSSGRG00000002718.1)
Source: RNAcentral